UCGGGAACAUUGAGACAGGUGCUGCAUGGCUGUCGUCAGCUCGUGUCGUGAGAUGUUGGGUUAAGUCCCGUAACGAGCGCAACCCUUGUCCUUAGUUACCAGCACGUUAUGGUGGGCACUCUAAGGAGACUGCCGGUGACAAACCGGAGGAAGGUGGGGGAUGACGUCAAGUCAUCAUGGCCCUUACGGCCUGGGCUACACACGUGCUACAAUGGUCGGUACAGAGGGUUGCCAAGCCGCGAGGUGGAGCUAAUCCCAGAAAACCGAUCGUAGUCCGGAUCGCAGUCUGCAACUCGACUGCGUGAAGUCGGAAUCGCUAGUAAUCGCGAAUCAGAAUGUCGCGGUGAAUACGUUCCCGGGCCUUGUACACACCGCCCGUCACACCAUGGGAGUGGGUUGCACCAGAAGUAGCUAGUCUAACCUUCGGGAGGACGGUUACCACGGUGUGAUUCAUGACUGGGGUGAAGUCGUAACAAGGUAGCCGUAGGGGAACCUGCGGCUGGAUCACCUCCUUAAUCGAAGAC
Molecule: ribosomal RNA, 524 nt
Filed under: Pseudomonas lutea
Lineage: Bacteria; Pseudomonadati; Pseudomonadota; Gammaproteobacteria; Pseudomonadales; Pseudomonadaceae
Description: bacterial SSU rRNA
Rfam family: Bacterial small subunit ribosomal RNA
Source: RNAcentral